GACGAACGCUGGCGGUGUGCUUAACACAUGCAAGUCGUGCGACGAACCAGACUUCGGUCUGGGGCAAAGCGGCGAACGGUGAGUAACACGUGGGUAAUCUGCCCCGAUGACUGGGACAACCCGAGGAAACUCGGGCUAAUACCGGAUGUGGUGCCUGGACUCAAGUCCGGUCACUAAAGGUAGCUUCGGCUUCCGCAUUGGGAGGGGCCCGCGGCCCAUUAGCUUGUUGGUGGGGUCAAGGCCUACCAAGGCAACGAUGGGUAGCUGGUCUGAGAGGACGAUCAGCCACACUGGGACUGAGACACGGCCCAGACUCCUACGGGAGGCAGCAGUGGGGAAUCUUGCGCAAUGCGCGAAAGCGUGACGCAGCAACACCGCGUGAGGGAAGACGGCCUUAGGGUUGUAAACCUCUUUCAGAUGGGACGAAGGUGAUGCGGUGAAUAGCCGAUGUCAUUGACGGUACCGUCAGAAGAAGCUCCGGCUAACUACGUGCCAGCAGCCGCGUAAUC
Molecule: ribosomal RNA, 509 nt
Filed under: uncultured bacterium
Lineage: Bacteria
Description: bacterial SSU rRNA
Rfam family: Bacterial small subunit ribosomal RNA
Source: RNAcentral